Molecule: ribosomal RNA, 610 nt
Filed under: uncultured fungus
Lineage: Eukaryota; Fungi
Description: eukaryotic LSU rRNA
Rfam family: 5.8S ribosomal RNA (bases 200-353)
Source: RNAcentral
UCCGUAGGUGAACCUGCGGAGGGAUCAUUAAAAAUAGGGCACUUAUGCGCUAUACACCACUGUCAACCUACCCUGUCUCGUUGCCUCGGCGGGCGGCUCCCGGGGGAGCCCUCCUGGCCAUCGCGGUGCUCGCCGGCAGCGACCCUUCUCUACUCUAAACGUCUCUUCUGAGUGGCACGCUGAAAAGCAAAAUUAUCAAAACUUUCAACAACGGAUCUCUUGGCUCUGGCAUCGAUGAAGAACGCAGCGAAACGCGAUAAGUAAUGUGAAUUGCAGAAUUUAGUGAAUCAUCGAACUUUUGAACGCACAUUGCGCCCGGCGGCACUCCGCCGGGCAUGCCUGUCCGAGCGUCAUUAUACUGCCCUCGACUCUCCGAGUCGGUGUUGGGAGUCUCUGCGCCUGUACGCAGCUCCCCAAGUCCACUGGCGUCGCGCCACGGUGCCCCUGCGUAGUAAUUUCACCUCGCUUGGGACCCUGGGUGCCGGCUGCCUUCUCUCUCGCAGCAGGCUCUUUCGAGUCGGCUCCAGCACAGGUUGGACCUCGGGGAUCCAGGGGGGUAGGGGGGGUUACCCGGCUGGAACUUAAGGCAUAUCAAUAAGGCGGGGAGGGG